GUCUGACUAAUAGCAACAUUGUAUUACAUUUCAUCAUAGGUUUGAUUAGUUUCUGCCAUCUCAGCAAAAGUGUUUAAAUGAUUGGAUAUUUCAUCAGUUGUCCCCUUCCCCCACUUACAGAGAAACGCCUCUCAAGAUUUCUGAUGAGCUUUUGUACGGUGAGCUUUUUACCAUAGAGUUCCUGAAUGCCUUCCUCAAGGGGAUUCCCUCCAUUACCAUUUCAGAUAUCCUGAGUGGUGAGUAUUAUGCCUACAUUUUACAAAUAAGAAAAUGAGGAGUCCCUGAUAAG
Molecule: long non-coding RNA, 289 nt
Filed under: Mus spicilegus (steppe mouse)
Lineage: Eukaryota; Metazoa; Chordata; Mammalia; Rodentia; Muridae
Description: lncRNA (ENSMSIG00000005503.1)
Source: RNAcentral